UACGUAGGGUGCAAGCGUUAAUCGGAAUUACUGGGCGUAAAGCGUGCGCAGGCGGUUAUGCAAGACAGAUGUGAAAUCCCCGGGCUCAACCUGGGAACUGCAUUUGUGACUGCAUGGCUAGAGUACGGUAGAGGGGGAUGGAAUUCCGCGUGUAGCAGUGAAAUGCGUAGAUAUGUGGAGGAAUACCGAUGGCGAAGGCAGCCUCCUGGGCCAACACUGACGCUCAUGCACGAAAGCGUGGGGAGCAAACAGG
This 253-nucleotide ribosomal RNA is filed under the name uncultured bacterium. Its description in RNAcentral is "partial 16S ribosomal RNA". It matches the Rfam family "Bacterial small subunit ribosomal RNA", at positions 524 to 776 of the family's 1533-position model. The record is from RNAcentral.